GAUCAGUGGCUCAGGACGAACGCUGGCGGCGUGCCUAACACAUGCAAGUCGAGCGGAGACAAUGGAGCAGCUUGCUGCGAAUUGUUUAGCGGCGGACGGGUGAGUAACGCGUGAGCAACCUUUCUCUCAGUGGGGAAUAACACCGGGAAACUGGUACUAAUACCGCAUGAGACCACAACAGGGCAUCCUGAAGGGGUCAAAGAAUAAUCGCUGAGAGGUGGGCUCGCGUCUGAUUAGAUAGUUGGUGGGGUAACGGCCUACCAAGUCGACGAUCAGUAGCCGACCUGAGAGGGUGAUCGGCCACAUUGGGACUGAGACACGGCCCAAACUCCUACGGGAGGCAGCAGUGGGGAAUAUUGGGCAAUGGGGGAACCCUGACCCAGCAACGCCGCGUGGAGGAAGAAGGUUUUCGGAUCGUAAACUCCUGUCCUCAGGGAAGAGCAAGAGACGGUACCUGAGGAGGAAGCCCCGGCUAACUACGUG
Molecule: ribosomal RNA, 483 nt
Filed under: uncultured bacterium
Lineage: Bacteria
Description: bacterial SSU rRNA
Rfam family: Bacterial small subunit ribosomal RNA
Source: RNAcentral